Molecule: long non-coding RNA, 250 nt
Filed under: Sorghum bicolor (sorghum)
Lineage: Eukaryota; Viridiplantae; Streptophyta; Magnoliopsida; Poales; Poaceae
Description: long non-coding RNA (SBIC_LNC008777)
Source: RNAcentral
UAAAAUAUUGCAUGAUGAGUUCCUGUAUGAUGAGAGUUUGAAUUCCUACCACAGCCAUAUAUACAUGCUUGCUAGACUUUGAGCCGCACAUUUACUUUUUACUACUUAUGAGCAUUGAGUGUGGUCAAGCUGCGUAGACCCUUAGGAGCUUGUCAUGUGGUUAAAUCAAGAUUCACUUGCACGUUCACUCACACAUGCUAUUUCUACUCCGGAAAUAUGCAUCCACAUAUAUCCACCCAUUUCCAUCUCC